UACGUAGGAGGCGAGCGUUGUCCGGAAUUACUGGGCGUAAAGCGCGCGUAGGUGGGAGGUCAAGUCUGCGGUGAAAGCGCCCGGCUCAACUGGGCAUGGUCCGUGGAAACUGGUCACCUGGAGGACGGUAGAGGCGAGUGGAAUUCCCGGUGUAGUGGUGAAAUGCGUAGAGAUCAGGAGGAACACCAGUGGCGAAGGCGGCUCGCUGGGCCGGUCCUGACACUGAGGCGCGAAAGCCAGGGGAGCAAACGGG
Molecule: ribosomal RNA, 253 nt
Filed under: uncultured bacterium
Lineage: Bacteria
Description: partial 16S ribosomal RNA
Rfam family: Bacterial small subunit ribosomal RNA
Source: RNAcentral